CAGACACACACACACACACACACACACACACACACACACACGCAGUAUACCCCCCACCUUUCCUGCUGGUCUUCUCUGUAGCUCCAAUGCUGGAUUGAAGGAUCAAAGGCUUCAGGCCAUGGACCCCUGGGAAAAGAGAGCCAACAGAAUCUCAGGAGAAGGCAGCUUCUGGGGACACACUGCUUCGGUGGAGAUGAUGUGGAGAUGGUGUGAUGGUUUUCUGGGUCAGCAGAGAGGUAAUGGACCAGUGACUUCCAGCCAGGUAACUGGUUCCUCAGAGUAUGCCAUCUCCACCUUCAGAAGUCAAAAGAACCCCAUCCAAGUGACUGAUAUCAGGGGGCUCUGAUCCUCCUCCAGGAAGUACUCACAAGCCCUGGCAGCUCACCUACCACAUACUAGGCUCUGCGCUCAGUUUACAGCCAACUGAAAGUCUUUAUUCCACCUGGCUGGGACUACAGUCAGGUAUUCAGGUCUAAAGUGUAGUAUCCAAAGCACUGGGCUUUGGAAGUCAAAAACCACAUCCUGGCCAUCUUGCUCAGCAGCUGCAGGGCAGAGCCACAGAAGCAAGCGACUGAGCAGAAGCAAGUGCAAGCGAUUAGCUGUGAGGCGUUCUGUACAAGCAGGCAAUCUAACCGAAGUUCUUUGUAGUCACCUGCUGUUGUAGUCGUCAGCUGCUGCUGUUGAACGGCACGACCCUCCGAGCCAGGCAACCGUCAUCUUCAUGAGUUUAGCUGUGGCUGCUUGCAAAGGAUCAUCCCAGCUGGCCUUGUUCAUUGCUGACAUUUCCUGAAAGGAGGAGGGAUGUCUGGAGGAGGCUGUCGGUGGACAGAGGGCAUGAGGAGGCUGUGGAUGCAGGAAGCCAGGAAUCUGCAGAGUCCUCAGGUAGAGUGGGGACUGGGUCAGACUGCGGGGUUCAGGAUGCACAGGCCCUACCCUCUCUGCGACAGCCAUGCCCCCCCCCCCACCAUGGGGACCCAGCCACCUCCACACCCAGAUCUUACUACACAGCCCGAUGUAGGCGAGUCUAUCUUACCCAGGCAGCGAAGGGCAGUGCUCAAAGGCUUUUCAUGCUCCCUCCAGGCCUCCAGAGAAUGGCUGGUCCCCGCCCCACCCCCACCCCACAGAGUCACAGUAUCUCAGGAGCAACCACCAGUACUCUCCUGCUCCGAUACCUUCCUUGGCUCCCCUUCGUUUGUAAAGUCUAAUGUGGCAGCCCACCUACUUCCUUCAGGGUUCCCUUUCUUGGGUGAUUGGCGGAGGCCCCCCCACCAAGGCCACCAUCGAGUGUCUCCCUCAGCAAUCCCUUCCUCGCUGGUGUGUCAGUUCUGGCAGGGCCUGGGUUCCUCACACCCUGGCCUGUGCUGGCUUGUCCUCGGCUGGACUUUGGACUUUGAUAGGCAGUGGUGGCGGCUGUCUCUCCAGUGGGUGGACCUUGAGAUGUUCUUGAAGCUGGGUCCUGGCAGCGGAUUUGCCGAACGGAUGGAAAGGUGAAUGAUAGGCACGCAGCUCCCCUGGAGGGGAAACACUGAGGCCUCAGCCCGCAGGGAGCACAGUUUGUCUCUUGUGUGCUAGAAUCAAACGGGACCUGGCUCUGAGAAGCUGGCCAUCUAGGUGGAUGGAUCGGCUGCCACCACCGCUGUCUUCACUGAUGAAAUGGACAAAAGACCACAUAGCAGGCGUGGUCUGGGGGCCCCAUGCAUGCUUCCCAGUAACCAUACUCUCUGCUUCAGGACACAGAAGACAGAUUCUUUUUUUUUUAGAUCCAAUAAUCUUAUUUUUUCUCUCAAAUAUUACAUCCUGA
This is a long non-coding RNA of Mesocricetus auratus (golden hamster), 1801 nucleotides long. RefSeq lists it as uncharacterized. Lineage: Eukaryota; Metazoa; Chordata; Mammalia; Rodentia; Cricetidae. The record is from RefSeq and is a predicted model, not a curated record. The transcript is spliced from 3 exons.